This 411-nucleotide ribosomal RNA is filed under the name uncultured bacterium. RNAcentral describes it as "bacterial SSU rRNA". It matches the Rfam family "Bacterial small subunit ribosomal RNA", at positions 29 to 489 of the family's 1533-position model. The record is from RNAcentral.
AGCGAACGCUGGCGGCAGGCCUAAUACAUGCAAGUCGAACGCACCUUCGGGUGAGUGGCGGACGGGUGAGUAACGCGUGGGAACGUGCCCUUUGGUUCGGAACAACACAGGGAAACUUGUGCUAAUACCGAAUGUGCCCUUCGGGGGAAAGGAUUUAUCGCCAUUGGAGCGGCCCGCGUUGGAUUAGGUAGUUGGUGAGGUAAAGGCUCACCAAGCCUACGAUCCAUAGCUGGUCUGAGAGGAUGAUCAGCCACACUGGGACUGAGACACGGCCCAGACUCCUACGGGAGGCAGCAGUAGGGAAUCUUGCGCAAUGGGCGAAAGCCUGACGCAGCCAUGCCGCGUGAAUGAUGAAGGUCUUAGAUUGUAAAUUCUUUCACCGGGAAGAUAAUGACGGUACCCGGAGAAGAA